AUUGAACGCUGGCGGCAGGCCUAACACAUGCAAGUCGAGCGGUAACAUUUCUAGCUUGCUAGAAGAUGACGAGCGGCGGACGGGUGAGUAAUGCUUGGGAAUAUGCCUUAGGGUGGGGGACAACAGUUGGAAACGACUGCUAAUACCGCAUAACGUCUACGGACCAAAGGGGGCUUCGGCUCUCGCCCUUAGAUUAGCCCAAGUGGGAUUAGCUAGUUGGUGAGGUAAUGGCUCACCAAGGCGACGAUCCCUAGCUGGUUUGAGAGGAUGAUCAGCCACACUGGAACUGAGACACGGUCCAGACUCCUACGGGAGGCAGCAGUGGGGAAUAUUGCACAAUGGGCGCAAGCCUGAUGCAGCCAUGCCGCGUGUGUGAAGAAGGCCUUAGGGUUGUAAAGCACUUUCAGUAAGGAGGAAAGGUUAGUAGUUAAUACCUGCUAGCUGUGACGUUACUUACAGAAGAAGCACCGGCUAACUCCG
This 480-nucleotide ribosomal RNA is filed under the name uncultured Pseudoalteromonas sp. RNAcentral describes it as "bacterial SSU rRNA". It matches the Rfam family "Bacterial small subunit ribosomal RNA", at positions 30 to 505 of the family's 1533-position model. The record is from RNAcentral. Lineage: Bacteria; Pseudomonadati; Pseudomonadota; Gammaproteobacteria; Alteromonadales; Pseudoalteromonadaceae.